This 414-nucleotide ribosomal RNA is filed under the name uncultured microorganism. Its description in RNAcentral is "bacterial SSU rRNA". It matches the Rfam family "Archaeal small subunit ribosomal RNA", at positions 459 to 872 of the family's 1478-position model. The record is from RNAcentral.
CAGCAGCCGCGGUAAUACCGGCGGCCCGAGUGGCGGCCACUAUUAUUGGGCUUAAAGCGUCCGUAGCCGGGUUGGUUAGUCUCCCGGGAAAUCUGGCCGCUUAACGGUCAGAAUUCCGGGAGAUACUGCCAGCCUAGGGACCGGGAGAGGCCGAGGGUAUUCCCGGAGUAGGGGUGAAAUCCUAUAAUCCCGGGAGGACCACCUGUGGCGAAGGCGCUCGGCUGGAACGGGUCCGACGGUGAGGGACGAAGGCCAGGAGAGCAAACCGGAUUAGAUACCCGGGUAGUCCUGGCUGUAAACGAUGCGGACUUUGUGUCGGACAAGCUAUGAGCUUGUCCGGUGCCGGAGGGAAGCCGUUAAGUCCGCCGCCUGGGGAGUACGGCCGCAAGGCUGAAACUUAAAGGAAUUGGCGGG